CUCAAUAAUAAUAAUUAAUGAUAACUAGCAUUUCCAAAGUGCUUUGCAAAUAUCUUGUUUUAUCCUCAUAAUUCUGGGAAAUAGGUACCAUUAUGAUCCUUUUCUAACAGACGAGCAAACUGGGGUAAAUGACUUGACAUAGUGUUUGUGACCAAAUUUGAACCAGAUCUUUUUGAAUCCAGGCCCCAUGCUCUACCGUUGAACCUCUAGUUAUAUUGAAUUAGGAGUCUACCUGCAUAUUUGUAAAGGUCAGGACUCUUUCCACUUAGGUUUUUUUUUUUUUUUUCCAGCAAGGGGCAGCAUGACUCAAAGUUAACUAACAAAUACUCAGAAUACUGGGGAAAUUUCCAAAUAAGUGUAAACAUUGAAAUCCACCAAAACGACUUCUAUAGAUCUGUAACAUUAUCUAUAGUAUGCAGACACGAGACACACAAAUAUUUCUUUAAAAGGAAGAUGAAUAUAGAUGACUAAUUAAUUGCUUUCAGACAACUAGUUGGGGAAACCUUUAAGAGUUGAAAGAUAGUGCUUUGUCCAAUAGAAAAAGGAACAGAGAAGAUUCAAAAGGAACAGAAUAAGUGUUUCUUUGUUAAGUGGGAAGGAGAAAAAAAAGAAAGAAAAAGAAUCUUUAAAAGAGUAAUGCUUUUCAUCUUCAUCUUCUUCUUUUACUCUAAUCAGGGCAUAUCCUUUUUUGGACAGAUUCUCAGUUUGGUUAGUCAGUUAGUAAAUCUGUCAAUGAUCUUUUAAUAAACACUUUCUAUGUGGCAGGCACUGGGCUAUGCACUAGAUGGACAAAGACAAAAAUACAAACCCUGUCCUCAAGGAACUCAGAAUCUAACAGUGAAAAUAGAAUACAAACAGGAAGGUGUAACCAUAUGAGAUCUGCUGGAAGGAAGAUGAAUUUAGUCCUUCGCGCAGUGCCUGGAACAUACCUCACAACAAUCCUGGGAAGAAAGACUACAGAAAAUAUUAUCCCCUUUGAAAAAGUGGGGACACCAAGACUCUGAGAAACUCAGGAAGUCCAACAUGAUAAGAAUGAAAAACUGACCAGAGAGGAAGAUUGAAAAUCAGAGGCUACCACUCCCCAAGACCAAGGUUAACAACCCAUCAGUCCAAGACAAAGGAGAAGAUUGUUUUUCUAUGGGGGCUUGCCUGGAUUGUUUAUUUCUUCUCCUGAUACAUUGCUAUAUUUCUUGUCCAGACUACAGAAAUAAACUGAAAAUUGAUCUGCCUAUCA
This 1234-nucleotide long non-coding RNA is filed under the name Monodelphis domestica (gray short-tailed opossum). Its description in RNAcentral is "lncRNA (ENSMODG00000032116.2)". Lineage: Eukaryota; Metazoa; Chordata; Mammalia; Didelphimorphia; Didelphidae. The record is from RNAcentral.